Long non-coding RNA from Polypterus senegalus (gray bichir), 465 nucleotides. RefSeq lists it as uncharacterized. The record is from RefSeq and is a predicted model, not a curated record. NCBI's taxonomy places the organism in Eukaryota, Metazoa, Chordata, Cladistia, Polypteriformes, Polypteridae. The transcript is spliced from 2 exons.
AGCACGUUAUCGUGCAGUACGCUGUUACUGGUAUUACUGUAUAUAUUUAGUCUUGCUCAUCGCAGAUAAAACCGCAGUUUGAAGGCAAUACCGUGCCACCCUGAAGGGGGCGCACGUGAGCCCAACAGGUGCUCGUUACUGGCUGAUCUUAUCGGCGAUGAUUUCCAUUGAGACGGAGAGACUUUUAAAACUAAUACAAAUAAAGAACAACCAAUGAAUCCUCGACCUAACAAUCACUUCCAGUCCUCAGACGACAACCUCAACAUCACUUCCGGUUUGUGGCCCUUAAGAUCCCGCCUCUUCCUGAUGUCACUUCCGGUUCCAGAAUGCUGUUUGCUCAUGACGUCAUUUCCCUUCUGCCGAUCUUAUAUAUUUGACCUCCAUUUUUGUGAUUCUCUGUUCUGUUUUGGACUCCAGUCUGUAAAGACCUCAUUGCAUUUCCUGUACUCUGUAGUAUUAUGGGGU